Molecule: non-coding RNA, 716 nt
Organism: Cinara cedri
Lineage: Eukaryota; Metazoa; Arthropoda; Insecta; Hemiptera; Aphididae
Source: the annotation of a GenBank genome assembly
AGGCUUCUAAUAUAUUGCUAAUGGAGCACAAGUUUGCUCCAUUAGCUUAUAACGCAUUUAGAUAAGUAAAGAUACGCAUUUCUCAGGGUUUUGUGUCGAUUUGGGUAAACAGCAAUAUAAAUGUCUAGCUAAAUGCCGACAAGAUUUUGUUUUAUCUCUGUUAACCGGGUGUUUUUUCUAAACAUUCUUCCAGCAUUUUAGGAUCUGUUUUUUUGUAUAAAGCCAUUGCUCUUUGCUUAUUUUAAGCUUUCCAUAUCUCUUUUAGCAACCGUUCGGAGAAAAGGGAUUUACAAAGGUGGCAAAAAGUGCAAAGAAUAGCAAGAGCUAAAUAUCGAAAGGGUAAAUGACAACGGUGCUGCAAAAAAAAAGAUUGUAGUGGAAAACGUCAAUCUCAAAGUGCUGAUUACAGAAAAUUGUAAAUUCCAGGAAUUAAAUUAAACCUCAAUCUGAAGCCUUUUCGUCUAUUCCGAUAGCGAUAUAUUAACAUAAUAUAGCCUAAUACUGAAAAUGAUCCAUUUUUUGUUGUUAUGAAGUAAUUCAUAAACAAUAAUACGCCUUCCUUUUUAAGAAGGAAAGCUUUUCUAGGCAAGAAACAAGCAUCUUCUGGUGUCCAGUCAUGGUAGAGAUGUAGUAAAUGCAAAUCUGCUAAAGGGAAGUCAUCAUUCCACAUAUCUCCUGUAUAGGUAUUAAUGCGUUCGUAUAAAGCAUAUUUAUUU